GACGAACGCUGGCGGCGUGCUUAACACAUGCAAGUCGAACGGAAAGGCCCUGCUUUUGUGGGGUGCUCGAGUGGCGAACGGGUGAGUAACACGUGAGUAACCUGCCCUUGACUUUGGGAUAACUUCAGGAAACUGGGGCUAAUACCGGAUAGGAGCUCCUGCUGCAUGGUGGGGGUUGGAAAGUUUCGGCGGUUGGGGAUGGACUCGCGUCUUAGCAGCUUGUUGGUGGGGUAGUGGCUUACCAAGGCUUUGACGGGUAGCCGGCCUGUGAGGGUGACCGGCCACAUUGGGACGGAGGUACGGCCCAGACGCCUACGGGGGGCAGCAGUGGGGAAAAUUGCACAAUGGGCGGAAGCCUGAUGCAGCAACGCCGCGUGCGGGAUGACGGCCUUCGGGUUGUAAACCGCUUUCUCCUGUGACGAAGCGUUAGUGACGGUAAUGGGUAAAGAAGCACCGGCUAACUACGUG
RNAcentral lists this ribosomal RNA (468 nucleotides) under uncultured bacterium. RNAcentral describes it as "partial 16S ribosomal RNA". It matches the Rfam family "Bacterial small subunit ribosomal RNA", at positions 28 to 507 of the family's 1533-position model. The record is from RNAcentral.